This is a long non-coding RNA of Equus asinus (donkey), 2608 nucleotides long. The record is from Ensembl. NCBI's taxonomy places the organism in Eukaryota, Metazoa, Chordata, Mammalia, Perissodactyla, Equidae.
AGGAAUCUGCAUUUUAGUCACAACUUUUCCCCUCCCCAUUAUGUUGAUGCGGAUGCUCCUCUGGCCCCAGUUCAGGAACCAUUAUUAGGCUACCAAGAAUUCUUUUCUUCCAAUUGGUCAACACCUUCCUUGGCAGGGCCAGGCCAGUUCAAAAGCCACAUCUAGUACAAAUUGGGCUAGUAGGAUGAUACCUUUACUGCUCAGUUGGUUGUUUUGGCAACAUUAAUUCUAGUAGGACCAGAAGCAAUCAAUAGAUUUAGUCAUUUAGAUCCUCAGGAAUUUAAAGAUGGACUCAAGACCCAAAAACUCUGUCCAGUUUACAGAGUGUUCCAAGAAAUGUGUGGAAGAAGAUCAAGAUGGUGAAGGAUUUAAAAACCAUGACAUACGCAAAGUGGCUGAAAGACCUAAUGGCUCUGAAGGACAUGGGAAAGGAGCUACAGCAUUGUUUUCAUAAUCUGGGUUCUCCAGCUACCCAUUACCAAUUAAGAGGAGCUGAUACAUGCAUUUUACGUGCAAUCGAGGCCAAAUCCCUCUGGAAUAAUUUUUUGGAAUGAGAUGUAAAUAAAUGAUAAAUCUUCCCAGAAGAGUAGCCCUGAACAAAUGAUAAACAUAGUCCACCCGGCCCUGAAGAAGUGCAAUCGACAGUAACUUUUAGGAUCAAGAAUCCAGCUCCCGCAGAGAUGAGCACCAGAUUUUAUACAAAGCCGGACACACUUGACCACAGCAGCCCUACAUCUCUUUGGCUCACCCGCUUUCUCUGCCCUCCCCACUGCUUUUUCCUCACAGAGAGAAGAGGAACAGCAGAAAGAAGAGAGUGGAUAGGAGGGAAGUUCCUAUAAUAUGAGAAACACACUAGAAGAAAAAUCACUGUGAAGCAACGUGUCCUCAAUGCCUUCUGUGGCACAGUAUAUACCACUUCUAAAGCUUCUGAGAUCCUUGGGGAAAUGCACUGUAUAUCUUUGGGGAAAACCACCAAAUGUGGUGGCAACCAUUCGGUGUUAGUGAAGAUGGGAGAAAUGAGGGAGCUGUGCUGUUUUCCAGACGGCCUUUCGUAUCAUGGUGUUCUUGCCCACCAGCACCACAGCUUUCCCAUAGAGAAACAUACAGAUCUGCUGCUUCUACUUGGAGCCUACAUUGUCUGCUCCAACAUAAAGCAUUUUGGAUAAUCAUCCAAUAGUUGGACAAUCUGAAGGAAGGAGUUGUACUUCCAGGUCACCCUAUCUUCCCUGGGCAUCCUGGUAGUGCAUCAGGGAUUGCCACAUGGGUUUAAAGAUGAGGCACGAGGAUGCCUAUUGAGAGGAGGCCCAACAUUUUCAGAGAAUCUUGGUAGUUAGGCAUAAAACCAAAUAUUUAUUUACAAAAAUGUUUGCUCCACUAUGACUCAGAAUAGAAAAAGAUCCUAAAUUACCAAUAAUAGGGGCUUUGUAAAUAGUUUAUUUGAUGCCAAUACAUUGGAAUCGUACUAUUGAGUUAUUUAAAAAAUCUUAAGUGGAAAUCUAUUCAAGCGAGAAAAUAUCUCUAAAAUGUUGUCAAGAGACAAAGAAAGACAUAGUAGAAUGUGUAUAAUAUGAUCUCCAUUUUAUGGCAUAUAUGGAAAAUAUUUAUACAAAAGUAUUCAUGUGAUUAUACUAGAUGGUUGAGAUCAUGAAUGAGUUAUUGAUUUUCUCUCCUCUUUUUGUAAUUUAAAAUUUUUUUACAUUAAAUAAUUAUUAUUUAUGCAAUCAGAAAAAGUGUAUAUUAACAAAAUAGUGACAAAUAAAAUCUCUUGGGAAGGAUGGUGUGGCCUUUUUGAGAAAUACAAGCAAGUUUGGGAGAAAGCUAGAAGACUAAUAAAACACGUACUACGUGAAUGGCUAAAAUGAAAGACAAGCAACUCCAUGUGUUGGUGAUAUUGUAGAUUAAUCAGAACCCUCCUGUGCUCACAGUGGGAGUAUGUGUUAGUUUAAGUACUUCGGCAUAUUAUUUGGCAGUAUCUAGUAAAACUGAACAUGAGCACUCUCUAAGACCCAGUAAUUUCACUUGUGAAAAUACCCCUAGAAGAAAUGCAUACAGAUAGUCCCCAUAAAAUAUGUAUAAAAAUGUGCAUGACAGAAUUAUUUGUGAUAGUCCCAAAGUGAAACCAACUCAAAUAUGCAUCAGGAGUAAAAUGAAUAUAUAAAUUAUGGUGUUUUCAUACAACAGUGAAACAAUGCUAUAUGCAACAAUGUGGAUGAUUUUCACAAAUAUAAUAUUGAGCAAAAGAAGCCAAUAUAUACUGUAUUAUUCUAUUUAUAUAACAUUAAAAAAACAAGGAAAAGUCAUCUAUGUGUUAUAUAUUGAGAUAGCAGUUACUUUUAGAAGGGUAAUGCCUGCCACGGGGCAUGAAGUGGUUGGUGUUUCAUUUCUUGAUUUGGGCGCUGCUUACAUGGUUUCUGGACUUGUAAAAAAAAAAAAACCAUUAAACUGAACACUUGUACAUGUGUUACACUUUGAUGAAAUGUGUAGUUUAAGAAAAGUUGCUAAAGAAACCAUUUAUGUAUGUUAUAUUAAGUUAUCUGGUGGAAGGCUGAGUUAGAACACGAUUUAAAAAGAAAAAGAUUAAAGGUAAACCUAGUUGCCAGAAAACCCA